AGACGUCUUUUUUUCUGCUGUUGAUGGGGAACUGAUGUUACACAGAACCUAAGGAGGAAGUAGAUAGGGAGCCGCUCUGGGUUGAACUUUAGUUUUACAGACGAAAUACGGAGUCUGAGCAGAAUAAAGUUGCUUCGUGCGCUGAUGAUCAAGAGCCUAAGUCUUCUGAUUCACAUUCCAGUGCCCCAAAUGCAGAUGGAAGUGAAAACAAAUCUGAUGAACAGAAGGGCCAACAGGGGAGGAAGGGAAUACAAUCCUAGGGGAAAAAGAUCCAGAAAAGAAGGAAGGGUUUUCAUUUUCUGGAAUCAUCCCUAACCCCAAAAUGUAAAAGAAAACAAGAGAAGCUGAUAAAGUCUAGGGAGAAGGGGGACGUGUCGCUACACACAGGAAGCGGAGUCAUAAGAAAAGGGGAAAAAGGAGCGACGGUUAGCUUAAGAAAUCAUUUCCUUAGAAUGGGCUGGAUUCAGGUCCAGGAAUAAAGGGCCCAGAUGGUUUUAAUGAUCAAACUCUGCCUCUUGCUUUCAUCCGGCUGCAGCAGGAACUGUCACCAGUGAAGGGCCAUAUCCUGUCAGUGGGUGGCCUCACGAGCUCCCACUGGUGCCUUGGAAGUUGUUCACUGAGGCUGAGAUACUUUGCCAACCCCCAAACCUCGCACCGGGAAGCCUGCCUACCCACCCCCAGGACUGCUCUGGUAUUCAGCAAUCUGGUGGAAUGUGUGAGGGGAGUAAUUCUCUCAGUCUUGGACGUCUCUUGGUCCUGUCCUUCAUUCACUGUAACAUAUAAUUCAUGUUGGAAUAUGAUUUCUGGAUCAUCCUAACCUCCUUGAUAAAGCAAAGAAUCGUCAGCGUUUGUGAGAAAUACAAAAAUACCGGUCAACCUGAGGCCCCAAAGGAUACUUUGAAUGUAUUUGACUAUGAGGAAAAUAAUUGCUAAGGUUCACCUAGAAAUAAUUCUCUCUUUUCUUCUUGUUGCCUUCCCUCAACAGAAGCUGAACUAUUGAGAGAUCACGAUGUUGAGGUUACCUCCAAAUAAGGGAGUAUUCACAAAAACUUUACCCCUUGAUAACAAAGCAGAAAAGUCGCCCCAGUUCAGAAGAAAAUCACUGGCCUUCCGUAGACUGACCCAAACUCCUUUUCCAACACUUGAGUUAAUACCAGUAUCAUGAGACCCCAGUCUGUGUUCUUCUUUUUAUUAGUUUGGAAAGAAUGACUAAUCCCUGUAUACUAUUCUUGGACUGUUAUUUUGGCCAGUUUAGGAGGAAUGGAUGAAUACUAAUAACAUCCGACGUUCAUAGCACGUUCAGAGUUUAUAAAGCCUUUUUCCAUUGACUCCUCACAGCAGUUCCCAGAUGAAGUGACUUGACCUGGCUCAUCUGUGACCAAGCGAUGAAGCUAAGAUAUAAACAUGAGUCUUCUGAAUCCAGCCUUCAGUUUUAACUGUGCACUAGACAGGACUGCCAUGUGCCCUGGAGGAAAAGCCCAGGGAGUGAAGAGGGCAUAUUCCAGGCAUGGUCUAGCUUGGCAGACACGGAUCCCACUUCGGAAAGUAAUCCCUCUACUGAGAGGCUGGGGAGCUAAUGAAAAGCAGCCAGCCAAUGGAAACAUGGCAUGUGCUAACAUCUUCUGAAAUUUAAUGUGGAUCACAGGAGCCCUCCCCUGUCAGCCUCUGGCACAGUAACUCCAUCUCACAGCGAAUUUCCCAGAAGACCCAGUCUGUGACGCUCCCCCCCCCCCCCCCACCAAAUCAAGACGCCUCUCUGUUUCAGAUACUGAGACUCACAAAUAGUGACCCUUCGUCAUUACAGGCAAAAACAGACUGCCUCCUGGAAAAGACAAUUGGCUUCAUGAGGGCCAAGCGGUCAUUCACUUCUGAACUCACAAAAUCAAUGGCACGCCAUUAAGGAGAAAAUACGAAGGAUCUCCAAGAAGCUCUGAAGAAAGGGGAUGUCAUCACUGGGACGUUGGGAAUUUAGUGCCAUGCUCAAGUAACAUAGCCACUUUUAAGUGGGACCUCCUGAAGCUAGUUCAUACCCCUUUGUGAGGAUGAUGGGAAGGCUGUGGUCUUCUCUGUACCGUGACUUCCCAAAAUAAUGAGGGUUAAUGGAGUCUAGCUUUCAGGAAGACUCGGGUAGGGAGAGGUCAAGGGGAGCGCUCACAGACGGCUGGGCAUAUUUCUGUGUUGUUUCAACACAUCAGGAGCAAGAAUUAAGUUACUCGUCCAACACAAAUGAACAAAAUAUGUAAAGACCCUAAAAUAAAACUCAUGCUUUCUUAAUGUCUUUGCAGCUGGAGGACACAGGAAUCACCCUACUGACAGCAUGUCUGGUGAUCUCUAAUCCAGGCCCUGCUGCCUGCUGCUGCUCUCUUCAAAAACAAAUCUACGCAGGUCUUUGAACCAUCUUAGAUGCCGCUUCAAGAUACUUUUGGCUGAUUACGUAAGGACCAAACUCCUCACUGCAAUACUGAACAUCUUUCACAAUCAAACCAAAAGUAAACACUCCGGGCUCCAUUCUAAUUCUUGGGACAUUUUCCCUCCUCCCUGCCCCCACCUCUCAAAAUCACCUUCUGUUCCUUAGAGAAGCUGGGCCCUUCCCAGCUCUUUGUUUUUGCAUUUGCUAAUUCCCUUGUCCCUUUUCCUCAGUUCCGCCCCAGCUUCAAUGUCACCUGUCUGUCAACCUCUGAGUCUCCCCGACUCCAGCCAUAAUGCAUUGCUUCCACCUUUGCUGUCACGCAGCACGUCGUCCGAUCACUGCUGACUUGUCUUUUUUUUACAAUAGGAAUUUUAAAUUACAAUAGGAAUAUAAGCUUAUGUGCUGA
This is a long non-coding RNA of Leopardus geoffroyi (Geoffroy's cat), 2816 nucleotides long. RefSeq lists it as uncharacterized. The record is from RefSeq and is a predicted model, not a curated record. The transcript has 3 exons. Lineage: Eukaryota; Metazoa; Chordata; Mammalia; Carnivora; Felidae.